RNAcentral lists this ribosomal RNA (730 nucleotides) under uncultured Actinomycetes bacterium. Its description in RNAcentral is "bacterial SSU rRNA". It matches the Rfam family "Bacterial small subunit ribosomal RNA", at positions 320 to 1067 of the family's 1533-position model. The record is from RNAcentral. Lineage: Bacteria; Bacillati; Actinomycetota; Actinomycetes.
UGAGACACGGCCCAGACUCCUACGGGAGGCAGCAGUAGGGAAUCUUGCGCAAUUGGGCGAAAGCCUGACGCAGCAACGCCGCGUGAGGGAUGACGGCUCUCGGGUUGUAAACCUCUUUCAGCAGGAACGAAAUUGACGGUACCUGCAGAAGAAGCUCCGGCCAACUACGUGCCAGCAGCCGCGGUAAUACGUAGGGAGCAAGCGUUGUCCGGAUUUAUUGGGCGUAAAGAGCUCGUAGGCGGUUUAGAAAGUCAGGUGUGAAACCUCCAGGCUCAACCUGGAGACGCCACUUGAUACUUCUAUGACUUGAGUUCGGUAGGGGUAAGCGGAAUUCCUGGUGCAGCGGUGAAAUGCGCAGAUAUCAGGAGGAACACCGAUGGCGAAGGCAGCUUACUGGGCCGAAACUGACGCUGAGGAGCGAAAGCGUGGGGAGCGAACAGGAUUAGAUACCCCUGGUAGUCCACGCCGUAAACGUUGGGUACUAGGUGUGGGAGGUAAUCAACGCCUUCCGUGCCGCAGCUAACGCAUUAAGUACCCCGCCUGGGGAGUACGGUCGCAAGACUAAAACUCAAAGGAAUUGACGGGGGCCCGCACAAGCGGCGGAGCAUGUUGCUUAAUUCGAUGCAACGCGAAGAACCUCACCUAGGUUUGACAUGUAGGGAAAAGCCACAGAGAUGUGGUGUCCUUCGGGGUCCUACACAGGUGGUGCAUGGCUUCUCAGCUCGGUCUA